RNAcentral lists this ribosomal RNA (933 nucleotides) under Lucilia caesar. Its description in RNAcentral is "eukaryotic LSU rRNA". It matches the Rfam family "Eukaryotic large subunit ribosomal RNA", at positions 111 to 867 of the family's 3401-position model. Lineage: Eukaryota; Metazoa; Arthropoda; Insecta; Diptera; Calliphoridae. The record is from RNAcentral.
AGCACUAAGUCACUUUGUCUUUAUGGCAAAUGUGAGAUGCAGUGUAUGGAAUGUCAAAUUUCUAGUAUGAGAAAUUAACGAUUUAAGUCCUUCUUAAAUGAGGCCAUUUACCCAAAGAGGGUGCCAGGCCCGUAUAACGUUAAUGAUUACUAGAUGGCAUUUCCAAAGAGUCGUGUUGCUUGAUAGUGCAGCACUAAGUGGGUGGUAAACUCCAUCUAAAACUAAAUAUAACCAUGAGACCGAUAGUAAACAAGUACCGUGAGGGAAAGUUGAAAAGAACUCUGAAUAGAGAGUUAAAUAGUACGUGAAACUGCUUAGAGGUUAAGCCCGAUGAACCUGAAUAUCCGUUAUGGAAAAUUCAUCAUUAUGAUUUUAAUAUUUAUAAUAUUAUAAUAAUGGUGUGCAUUUUUUCUAUAAAGGACAUUGUAAUCUAUUAACAUAAAUUAAUUUAUCAUAAGAUCAUUUGCGUAAGUUUAUUCAAAUUAUUUUGCUUGCAUUUUAAUAUCGAAUAAAUGCUUUUGAUUUGAUAAAGUGUUGAUAGAUUUAUUAUAUACAGUGCUUAAAUAUUUAUAUUUUAUAAUAGCAUAUUAAUCAAUGAUUUUUAUGUUCAUUAUAUGCACUUGUAUGAUUAACAAUGCGAAAGAUUCAGGAUACCUUCGGGACCCGUCUUGAAACACGGACCAAGGAGUCUAACAUAUUUGCAAGUUAUUGGGAAUAAAAACCUAAUAGCGAAAUUAACAUAACUUAUUUAAUGGGAUUAGUUUUUAGCCUAUUUAUAGUCUAUUAAUUCAAUCCCGGGGCGUUCUAUACAGUUAUGUAUAAUAAUAUUUAUAUUAUUUAUACCUCUAACUAGAGCGUACCUUGAGCAUAUAUGCUGUGACCCGAAAGAUGGUGAACUAUACUUGAUCAGGUUGAAGUCAGGGGAAACCCUGA